UUAACUACUGUCUUCAGAUACGCAGAGGCAUUUAUUACAAGGAGGGAAGGGCUGCCUAUUUCCUUAGACUGCAGGAAGAGAAAGUUCGACUGGAAUCGCAGAGGAAGGCCUGCGUGCCGAGUCUCCCUCAGAGCGCCUGGCAGAGAGGAGGCGCCCUCGUGGAAAAUCCAGGACUGCCCGUCCUUGAGUGGAAGUUCUGGAAGUUGAGGCCUCAACGACCUUUGAGGCAGAGGGUCCUGGUAUCUGUUUUAGACAAGGCCAGAGGUUUUGCCUGGCUGCUGGCAGCAGGGACACUGUGUCUGCAGCUAAGAGGGAUGGUGGGACCCUCGGCCUCCCUGCUCCUCUGCCUGUGCCUCUCACCCAGUGUACCUCAGAAGGAACCACUCCUGCCAGCACCUUGAUUUCAGAUUUCUACCCUCCAGAAUGACUCUUCUGGAGGGUGGAGACCUUCUGAGAAUCGGCUCUUCCAUAAGGCGCUGUCCUCUCAUGCCCCACCUUUGACUCGCCGUUUGGUAGCCUUGCUCUGCUGGACCACGUCCCGGUUGGAGGCACGGAGCAGCAGAGGCCAGAGAGCAGGCUGCCUGGAUGCCCUUGCUCCUGGCUAGCAGACACAGCCUUGGACCACUGUAACCACAGGCCCUGUAGGACCAGCUCAAGCUGACCCAAUCUUAUCGCCAGAAGGUUUUUCAGGGGCAAGCCAAAAAUUUGCAAGUCAUAUAACCAGAGCAUGUGCGGAGGAGAAAAUCUUGAUCUGAAAUGACCCCGGAACCAAAGAUUCUCCACCACGGAACCAAAGGACUGGGAUGCGACGGGAACUUGAGAGUCGGACUCUUAUCAGAAGCGAGGAGUCCCUUGUCAGGGAAGAUCCGGUGUUAAAGCCUCUUCCACACCUUGCCAUAAAUGUUUAAAACCUUGCCAUAAACAUUUAAAGCCUUCCUAUAAAACGUUUAAAGCCCUCCAAUCGAAACUGCCCGCCAGCGCUUCCGUAUGCCAGCCUGUUCUCCCUAAUGUCUUCAAUUUUGCCCCAAACUCUGGAUCAGGGAGACAGAUUUGAGAAUGUUGCCUCCUGUCUCCUUGCUAGUCGACUUCAAAAUAAAGCUUUAUUCUUUUUGCAAAAGCUGAUGCCAUAAUAAUUGGCUCUUUAUGCGCAUCAGGCAAGAGAACGCCAAUGUUGUGCCAUCACGCUGCUCCUGCUCCCCACUUCUGUUUCUCCCGGUUGCUGGACGUGGGCCAUGGCAUUGCUCUGCACUCUGUUAUCUGGAACUCUCCGUCCCUUUGGCUCGCUCCGUCUCUGGCCCAAUGGCCCUCUGUGUGGACUGUGUUUGCCA
Molecule: long non-coding RNA, 1328 nt
Filed under: Equus caballus (horse)
Lineage: Eukaryota; Metazoa; Chordata; Mammalia; Perissodactyla; Equidae
Description: lncRNA (ENSECAG00000046357.1)
Source: RNAcentral